RNAcentral lists this long non-coding RNA (241 nucleotides) under Cavia porcellus (domestic guinea pig). Its description in RNAcentral is "lncRNA (ENSCPOG00000031314.1)". The record is from RNAcentral. Lineage: Eukaryota; Metazoa; Chordata; Mammalia; Rodentia; Caviidae.
UGUGUACUUACUUGAAAUCAGUACCUUUUCUUUGGUUGCCACAGAGAUGUUCCAGCCAGUAUUCUUCAGUGGCCCAGGUGACAAUUCCUGUUGUAGUUCCAGUUGCUCCAGUCUCUUAGAAUUAACUGCUCACUCUGAUGCAUAUCUGAUCACUGUGAUGCAUGGCUGAAAAGCCAGUUCAUGAUCUCCAAGCUGCCAAUAUUGGCAUGAUUGCCAUCCAUAUACAUUGCCUUAGUUUUCU